RNAcentral lists this ribosomal RNA (456 nucleotides) under Ralstonia sp. oral taxon B67. RNAcentral describes it as "bacterial SSU rRNA". It matches the Rfam family "Bacterial small subunit ribosomal RNA", at positions 30 to 473 of the family's 1533-position model. Lineage: Bacteria; Pseudomonadati; Pseudomonadota; Betaproteobacteria; Burkholderiales; Burkholderiaceae. The record is from RNAcentral.
AUUGAACGCUGGCGGCAUGCCUUACACAUGCAAGUCGAACGGCAGCAUGAUCUAGCUUGCUAGAUUGAUGGCGAGUGGCGAACGGGUGAGUAAUACAUCGGAACGUGCCCUGUAGUGGGGGAUAACUAGUCGAAAGAUUAGCUAAUACCGCAUACGACCUGAGGGUGAAAGUGGGGGACCGCAAGGCCUCAUGCUAUAGGAGCGGCCGAUGUCUGAUUAGCUAGUUGGUGGGGUAAAGGCCCACCAAGGCGACGAUCAGUAGCUGGUCUGAGAGGACGAUCAGCCACACUGGGACUGAGACACGGCCCAGACUCCUACGGGAGGCAGCAGUGGGGAAUUUUGGACAAUGGGCGAAAGCCUGAUCCAGCAAUGCCGCGUGUGUGAAGAAGGCCUUCGGGUUGUAAAGCACUUUUGUCCGGAAAGAAAUGGCUCUGGUUAAUACCUGGGGUCGAUGAC